UUAACUAAAGCCAAAUAGAGGCAUUUCAUUGUUAAUGAAAAUAAUGAGUCAAUCUCUAGUUAAA
RNAcentral lists this transfer RNA (64 nucleotides) under Cyrtorhinus sp. RNAcentral's name for it is "tRNA-Asn". The record is from RNAcentral. Lineage: Eukaryota; Metazoa; Arthropoda; Insecta; Hemiptera; Miridae.